UUUUUUUUUUGGAAUUGAUGGGUUUUUGAAAUUGAUAUAGAAAGAGUAAUGACACUUUAUUUCAAAAACAACCUUAUUUCUUGCUAUUUUUAGGAAGACUUUUUUUUUNNNNNNUUUUUUUUNNNNNNUUUUUUUUUUCUUUUUUUUUCAUCACCUUCUUUUUUUUUCAUCACUUUUUUUUUUCAAAACUUCAACUUUUCAUCUUCCUUUUUGCCUUCCUUUUAUUUUGUGGUGAGACACUUACCCACACACUUAUUCAUUACUUACUUAUAACACAAUCCAUUACUCAUUCUUCUUUCCCAAGGUGAGGAACAUGUGAUUUAUCUUCAUUUUUUUCAUUUGGCAAUUUCUGGAAACAAGAAAAAUAGUCUUAAGGCUCAAAGGGGUUUNCAAUGGAUUAAUGUUAAGGUAAGUUUAUUUGGCCAAGUAGCUAAAACAAGAAAUGCCUCAAUCAUAUCAAAUCAUGCAUAUUCACCUNAGUUNCACAACACAUAAUCAAGCUAAAUAUUAGAGUAUCAUCAAAACAUGGGCAAAUCACUCAAGAAAAAUAGGUAUGGCACAUGAUAGUCCAUCCUUAUCAUUAGGCUCAAAUAGAUCAUAAAAGUAACAGAAAAUAGGUCCAAGCCCACGUCGUCAGCGCUCAACGCUCAAAUGAGGGCCGCUAGGCAUGCUGCAGUGUAUAAAACUAGCGCUCAAUGCCCUUGGAAGUGCGCCCAAGCGUGGAAUGAUUCAGAAAAAUGGCGCUCAGUGCCCCUGAAAGGGCACCCAAGCGUGAACUCGAAGCUAGUAGCCCUGAGGGCCUUAGAAAAGGGCAGUCAGGCGUGAACCAGUGGCUUUCAGUGCUGAGGGCCCCAGAAAAGGACGCUCAAGCAUCUUGUGACCCUCCCUUCUGAUCCUUUUUCAAUUCUUUCUAAGUUCCAUCUCCUUGGUACUUUACCUCCUCUUCCAAAUCAUCCAAAUUUCCUACAA
This 969-nucleotide long non-coding RNA is filed under the name Vigna radiata. RNAcentral's name for it is "long non-coding RNA (VRAD_LNC005234)". Lineage: Eukaryota; Viridiplantae; Streptophyta; Magnoliopsida; Fabales; Fabaceae. The record is from RNAcentral.